Molecule: ribosomal RNA, 460 nt
Filed under: uncultured bacterium
Lineage: Bacteria
Description: partial 16S ribosomal RNA
Rfam family: Bacterial small subunit ribosomal RNA
Source: RNAcentral
CCUACGUGAGGCAGCAGUGAGGAAUAUUGGUCAAUGGACGAGAGUCUGAACCAACCAAGUAGCGUGAAGGAUGACUGCCCUAUGGGUUGUAAACUUCUUUUAUAUGGGAAUAAAAUGUUCCACGUGUGGGAUUUUGUAUGUACCAUAUGAAUAAGGAUCGGCUAACUCCGUGCCAGCAGCCGCGGUAAUACGGAGGAUCCGAGCGUUAUCCGGAUUUAUUGGGUUUAAAGGGAGCGUAGGUGGAUUGUUAAGUCAGUUGUGAAAGUUUGCGGCUCAACCGUAAAAUUGUAGUUGAAACUGGCAGUCUUGAGUACAGUAGAGGUGGGCGGAAUUCGUGGUGUAGCGGUGAAAUGCUUAGAUAUCACGAAGAACUCCGAUUGCGAAGGCAGCUCACUGGACUGCAACUGACACUGAGGCUCGAAAGUGUGGGUAUCAAACAGGAUUAGAUACCCGAGUAGUC